GCCAGCAUGAUGGAAUUGGUAGACUUAGGGGAUUCAAAAUCCCCCGCCUUCGGGCGUCCCGGUUCGAAUCCGGGUGCUGGUA
This 82-nucleotide transfer RNA is filed under the name hydrothermal vent metagenome. Its description in RNAcentral is "tRNA-Leu-CAA". It matches the Rfam family "tRNA". From Rfam's summary of the family: Transfer RNA (tRNA) molecules are approximately 80 nucleotides in length. Their secondary structure includes four short double-helical elements and three loops (D, anti-codon, and T loops). The record is from RNAcentral.